GAACCUGGUGGGCUGCCAUCUAUGGGGUCACACAGAGUCGGACACGACUGAAGUGACUUAGCAGCAGCAGCAAAGUAGGUAUUUUUAUAUUCUUUCAACAUAGGAGAAUCUGUGACACAAAGAAAUUAACAUAUAUAUAUUAUUAUUAUAUCUAUAUUUCUGUGUAUCCAUAGUAUAUAGAUAUUCCAUAAGGCAGAGUUAGAGAUUGAGAACCCCCUUGUAUUGUGAGUAAUCAUUUGGGUAUAUGUGACAGAAAUUAAAAUCCAACCAGUGUAAAUAAAUGGGAAUGUAUGAUUCAUAUCUGAACAAUCCAAGGGUAGGGGUGGCUUCAGGUAAUAGGACUGAUGCAGGGAUUCAAUUUGAUGUCAUCAGGAUUCAAUUUUCAUUUCUUUCCUGUCUUUUUCUUUUUUUGGCUGCAUUGCAUGGCUUGCAGGAUCUUAGUUUCCUGAUUAGGGAUCGGACCCAUGCCCCCUGUAGUGGAAGCUCAGAGUCCUAACCACUGGACCACCAGCGAAUUCCCCCGUUUCCAUUUCUUGACUCUGUCUUAUAUGCUGACUAUUUUCAGGUGUUGUGUGGGUAGCAAGUCCAAGUGAAGCUGAAAAUGUGGUGUUGCUGUGACAAUAUUGUCCUUAUGGAUUCCAAUUGGUCAUGUAUCCAUCAUUGAACUACUCACUGAACUGCACACAGGGAAAUAGAAUGCUUCAUCUGACAGGUCUGAAUCAUACAUUCACUCUUGGAGUAAGGGUGUGGAGGGAAGAACACUCCACCUGCACAUGGACUGAGACCAAAGAAGCAGGGGUAUGGUCAUUCCUCCAGGAGACACAGACAUACUGUUUUUGGAAAGGUGCAUGCCUGCUCUCAGCAAAAUAAGAUGGCAUAAAAGAGAUGUCCACUACAGCUCUCUCUAACUACCCCAUUCUGUUUUCUGGCCCAGAGCCAUGCCAGAUCUUUUGAGAUCUGGGGCUUAAAUUGAAACAUGAAUGUAAUGCAGAUCCUCUGAGGUUGGAGAAGGGGUUGGAUGGGGCAUAGAGCAGAGAUCUUGAAGGAGGGAAAUCAAUGGGAGACCCAAACAUCAGUGUGGAUAGCCCUAUUCAAUGACUUAGACUCAGUUCCUAGAUAUUUUCAUCUCAGAGUCCUUUACCUCUGCUCCUAUCCAACUAUGGCCAUAUCUGAAGCAUCAUCACCAGGAAACACUCUACUUUCUGAAAUAAUAUAGUCUUAUAUCACCCUCUAACUUCAACCUCCAGAUUUAUCCUAAAAUACCAACUCUUCAACCUUCUCAGGAUAUCUAGUCCAUUGAUCUUUCCACUUUCUCCUCGUCCAUAAACAACCUCUUGCCUUAUUUCCUCCCUCUCCAAGACAGACUUCAUGGUUCAUCACCUAAUCAACAUUCAUCAAUUCAAUCUGGGAAAAUCCCAACUUGAUGCCAGAGCUGCUCUCUGGGAAAGCAGAGCUCAGCAUUAUUGGAUAAAAUCACACAUAUAGAUAAGUUGGUGGCACCAUAAAUUCAUGGUCUAUGACUAAUGGUCAAAUUCGUCAUUAUUUGAAAUGCUUUUAUUCAUGCAUUCCAUUUAUUAAGGGCCUGCUAUGUGCUAGGCACUGUUCUAAGUAUUGGGAUACAUGGGUGAUCAAAACAGGCAAAGCUUCCCUGGCAGUCCAGUGAUUAGGACUCUGAGGGGGUUUGAUCCCUGAUUGGGGAACUAAAUCCCCACAAACCCCAUCAUGUGGCACACACACACAACAGGAGGCAAAGCUUCUUGACCAUGGUGCUAUGUAAUUUAUUUCUUAGUAAAUUCUCCCACUCUACUCAAAACCAGUUCAAACCUUCUUUACUUUCCUCCACUUCUUUCUCUCCCGGCCCGCAACAUAUAUGGCAGAGCUCUACUUUUCAGAGAAACCAGGAGCUAUCCUAUGAGAACUUUGCAUCAUCCCAAAUCAUUGCCUCCAAUCUCCUUUCUUCCUGCUAUAGUGAAAGGUGUUCCUCUGGGAGACCUUCCUUGACGCCCCCAAGCUAGGAUGGGUGCCCUCAUCCUCUCCUCCUCCACAGGCACUUUCCACACUAGACUGUAACUUGUAUCUUAAUUAUCUGAGGGCAGGGACCUUGUCUACCCAGUUCACUGUUUUAACCUCAGCAUCAGACCCUUAGCUUGGGCUUUCCUUGUGGCUCAGCAGGUAAAAAAAUCUGCCUGCAAUGCAGGAGACCUCGGUUCGAUUCCUGGGUUUGGAAGAUCCCCUGGAGAAGGGAAAGGCUACCCACUCUAGUAUUCUAGCCUGGAGAAUUCCAUGUACUACAGUCCAUAGGGUUGCAAAGAGUCGGACACGACUGAGUGACUUUCACUUACAGGCGCUUAGUACAUAGUUGGAGCUCAAUACCCUAAGGGUGAAUGAACGAAAGGGUGACAUUUCCGGAGAGGGCCUGCUUAUGGGCGGGGCCUGCUCAUGGGCGGGGCCUGCUCGGGACGGGGCGGGGCCCGAGGCGGGGCUGGGCGGGGGCCACCUCAGGACUGUCCUCUCAGGCUUCUUGGAGGCCACUAGCAGACAACAGCUCAGGACGCUGAAGUAAGCAUACUUGAGAUCAGAGCGCACAGCCAAGAUUCGGGCAAGGCUUUUCGGACGCCUCAGGGUCCAUUCCGGGGCAGGACUCUAUCCUCGAGGCCUCUGGGUGAGGCGGCUGAGCCCAGGUCCCGCCGCGGAGCGCGCCAUCUUCCACAUGCGGCCGUAGCUUUGGCGUCAUAAAACUGCCCAACUCGUUUUUCUCCCUUUCCCUCCACCUUCCCUCUCCCUUUCCCCGACCCCUCUUUCCUCUUCCUCCUCCCUUUUCCCCUUCCCAUCUCAUCCAGAAGGAUGUGUCGAGUGAAGGGCCAGUAACCCAGCUCCAGUUGCAGCACUGCGGGAUCGACAUGCUCUGUUCCCCUGCACCUGAGGGGCCCAGUGUUCCAAAAACGUCAGGACUGGUCUGAACUGUGAAACCUGGAGGAACCGCGCCUCCGGGAGGGAUUGGCGUCCUCGGGAGGGUGAAGGUCGUGUCCAGGAGGAUUGUUUCAGCAUCAGUGCAGAAGGAAGAGGAGCAAAGAGGGAGCAUUUGGUAGCAUGGCCUCUUGUGGUUGCAGGGCCCCAUGCAGCCGAGGUUGACAUGAGAAGGUAAUCCUAUAGGGAAGGAAAUGUGAGAGAAACCCCUCCUUGAGGAAUAAAAGAAGCAUCUUGAAGUCAGUGACAUGGGGAAUGUGACUCCUGCCAGGCUUGCUGUGUCCUUCUAUCUCCAUUCAGUUUGUGCAUCCUGUCUUCUGCAGCCAUCUGGGAAAACUUGAUGAGAGCAGUUUGUAGCAAGAUCCCUGCUGAGAGGAUCACGAUAGAGUGACCGUGAAAGCUGAUCUUCUGAUACUUAAGUAGGUUGGGAAUCUGCUGUGUCUUCUGUGUCCCUUUGGCUAUGACCCCUGGUUCUUUGCCUGAGCCAACUUCUCUCCCCUUCUCCAGCAUCCCCACUCUCAUCAGACCCUUUUGAAAGCCAAUUAAGAGCCCCUCUGAGUGAGCCCUCUCACACUGUCUUAUUUAUCCCUCUGUCAGCCUGAGGACCUACAGAAACCCAUCUUCCCACACUGUACCCAUCUUAGUUCAUUGUCUCCCUUCCUUUAAUUGUAGCCCAACAUCGCAGUUGGGCUACAACUGCGAUGUUGGGCUACAUCACCUCAGGCCUACAUCACCCUUAAAAUUCACAUCAGUUGGCCUUCUUUCUGUCAUUAGAAGUCACUCUGACAUUUGCCUCCAUAUUUUGGCCUAUCUAUUUUUCUCAUCCUCUGAAACUUUAUUUCUUCCUCCUGGAGCUUUCCAGGCCACCGGGUACCCUCCUUGCCUUUUUAUUCACUUAACGUUCUUUCACUCCACCCCUAACGUUUAUCUUUGUUCCAGGAUCUCUGCUACUAGACCCUAUUGCCUCUCAAACUCUCAAGACUGAGACUCUUUUUUCAAUACUCUCACCACCUUUUGGCCACCAGACCUUUUUGCCACUGAUUCCUACUUUCUUAUUGGAUUAUCUUCCACCUCUAACAUUUGCCUUUUCCCCUCUUCCUUCAGAGCACACUCAGGUCCUAUUCUCUAGCUAGACUUUGUGUCUGGACUAUUUUACCUCACCUGACUCCUGACUCAGGAUAUCAACCUCUUAUGCAUGAAUCUCUCUUAUUCAUUUUUUAAAAUAUUAUUUCUAAAAAUCGAGAUAUAGUUCCCAUAACAUAGAAUUCACCCUAAGAAGUGUACAAUUCAUAGUUUCUUUUUAUAUUCUCGAGGUUGUGCAAUCACCACCACUAAUUCCAAAACAAAUUCUUCAUUUCAACAAGAGUUAUACCAUUGACAUACUGCUCAUUCCUCCCUUCUCCCAGCCCCUGGCAAUCACUAAUACACUGUCAAUCUCUCUGGAUGUGCCUGUUCUACAUAUUUCAUAUAAGUGGAAUAUAUAACUGAAAUUUUGUGUCUAGCUUCUUUCACAUAACAUAAGAUUUUGAAAAUUUAUCCUUGUUGUAGCAUGUACUACUACUUCAUUUCUUUUUUAUGGCCGAAUAAUAUUCCACCAAAACAUUUGCAUUUCCCAGCAACGUACAAGAGUUUCCUCUUGACCAAUGAUGUUGACACUUUUGGCAAAACUUCUAUUCAAGUCUUUUGCCUAUUUUAAAAUUGGGUAGAUUGUCUUUUUGUUGUUGAAUUUAAGAGUAUGUUAUGUAUUCUGGAUACUAAACCCUUAUAAAUAUAUGAUUUACAAAUACUUUA
Molecule: long non-coding RNA, 4758 nt
Organism: Bubalus bubalis (water buffalo)
Lineage: Eukaryota; Metazoa; Chordata; Mammalia; Artiodactyla; Bovidae
Exons: 3
Source: RefSeq, a predicted model, not a curated record